This 492-nucleotide ribosomal RNA is filed under the name Salmonella enterica. RNAcentral describes it as "bacterial SSU rRNA". It matches the Rfam family "Bacterial small subunit ribosomal RNA", at positions 1 to 482 of the family's 1533-position model. The record is from RNAcentral. Lineage: Bacteria; Pseudomonadati; Pseudomonadota; Gammaproteobacteria; Enterobacterales; Enterobacteriaceae.
AAAUUGAAGAGUUUGAUCAUGGCUCAGAUUGAACGCUGGCGGCAGGCCUAACACAUGCAAGUCGAACGGUAACAGGAAGCAGCUUGCUGCUUCGCUGACGAGUGGCGGACGGGUGAGUAAUGUCUGGGAAACUGCCUGAUGGAGGGGGAUAACUACUGGAAACGGUGGCUAAUACCGCAUAACGUCGCAAGACCAAAGAGGGGGACCUUCGGGCCUCUUGCCAUCAGAUGUGCCCAGAUGGGAUUAGCUUGUUGGUGAGGUAACGGCUCACCAAGGCGACGAUCCCUAGCUGGUCUGAGAGGAUGACCAGCCACACUGGAACUGAGACACGGUCCAGACUCCUACGGGAGGCAGCAGUGGGGAAUAUUGCACAAUGGGCGCAAGCCUGAUGCAGCCAUGCCGCGUGUAUGAAGAAGGCCUUCGGGUUGUAAAGUACUUUCAGCGGGGAGGAAGGUGUUGCGGUUAAUAACCGCAGCAAUUGACGUUACCCGC